Molecule: ribosomal RNA, 303 nt
Filed under: uncultured bacterium
Lineage: Bacteria
Description: partial 16S ribosomal RNA
Rfam family: Bacterial small subunit ribosomal RNA
Source: RNAcentral
AGCAGUAGCCGCGGUAAUACGGAGGGUGCAAGCGUUAAUCGGAAUUACUGGGCGUAAAGCGCACGCAGGCGGUCUGACAAGUCAGAUGUGAAAUCCCCGGGCUUAACCUGGGAACUGCAUUUGAAACUGUCAGGCUGGAGUCUUGUAGAGGGGGGUGGAAUUCCAGGUGUAGCGGUGAAAUGGGUAGAGAUCUGGAGGAAUACCGGUGGCGAAGGCGGCCCCCUGGACAAAGACUGACGCUCAGGUGCGAAAGCGUGGGGAGCAAACAGGAUUAGAUACCCCUGUAGUCCCUGUCUCUUAUAC